This 605-nucleotide unclassified non-coding RNA is filed under the name Sedum cepaea. RNAcentral describes it as "sequence contains ITS1, 5.8S rRNA gene and ITS2". The stretch from base 232 to 387 matches the Rfam family "5.8S ribosomal RNA". Lineage: Eukaryota; Viridiplantae; Streptophyta; Magnoliopsida; Saxifragales; Crassulaceae. The record is from RNAcentral.
UCGAAGCCUACAAAGCACGACCGCGCACGUGUUCCGUAUAGCGGCAGGCGUCGAAAAUCCUUCGGGCUGCUCGUCGCCUUCUGCUCGGUGGUCGGGGCGCCUCGCGCGCUUCACCAUUGAAACUAACGUACCCGGCGCGGACAGCGCCAAGGAAUCGUAACGAAAGAACCUGUCUUUGUAACCCGCUUAUGGGCUGCGAUGGCAUGGGUCGUUUCAUAAUAGUAACUUAACGACUCUCGGCAACGGAUAUCUCGGCUCUCGCAUCGAUGAAGAACGUAGCAAAAUGCGAUACUUGGUGUGAAUUGCAGAAUCCCGUGAAUCAUCGAGUCUUUGAACGCAAGUUGCGCCCGAAGCCUUUAGGCCGAGGGCACGUCUGCCUGGGCGUCCAUCAUUGCGAUGCCCCCCAAAACAGUUUUGGGGAGCGAAGCAUGGCCUCCCGUGAGCCCCAACUCGCGGAUGGCUUAAAAAGGAGCCUCGGGACGCUGAGACGUCGCGACAAGUGGUGGUUGAAUAGGCCUCGGCCUUUGAGCAUUUGCAAGUCGCGCGGACGCUCCCUCGAGCUCGAAAGUAACCCCGCGGAGCGUUUUUGUAGCGCUGCCAGCAUU